Molecule: ribosomal RNA, 402 nt
Filed under: uncultured Sphingomonas sp.
Lineage: Bacteria; Pseudomonadati; Pseudomonadota; Alphaproteobacteria; Sphingomonadales; Sphingomonadaceae
Description: bacterial SSU rRNA
Rfam family: Bacterial small subunit ribosomal RNA
Source: RNAcentral
UGGGGAAUAUUGGACAAUGGGCGAAAGCCUGAUCCAGCAAUGCCGCGUGAGUGAUGAAGGCCUUAGGGUUGUAAAGCUCUUUUACCCGGGAUGAUAAUGACAGUACCGGGAGAAUAAGCCCCGGCUAACUCCGUGCCAGCAGCCGCGGUAAUACAGAGGGGGCUAGCGUUGUUCGGAAUUACUGGGCGUAAAGCGCACGUAGGCGGCUUUGUAAGUUAGAGGUGAAAGCCCGGGGCUCAACUCCGGAAUUGCCUUUAAGACUGCAUCGCUAGAAUUGUGGAGAGGUAAGUGGAAUUCCGAGUGUAGAGGUGAAAUUCGUAGAUAUUCGGAAGAACACCAGUGGCGAAGGCGACUUACUGGACACAUAUUGACGCUGAGGUGCGAAAGCGUGGGGAGCAAACA